CUCUACAGCAAUGCCACCCUGAACGUGCCCAAUCUCGUCUGAUCUCGGAAGCUAAGCAGGGUUGGGCUUGGUUUGCACUUGGAUGGGAGACCACCUAGGAAUACCAGGUACUGUAGGCG
This 119-nucleotide ribosomal RNA is filed under the name Pteropus alecto (black flying fox). RNAcentral also lists the same sequence under 1 other name. The record is from RNAcentral. Lineage: Eukaryota; Metazoa; Chordata; Mammalia; Chiroptera; Pteropodidae.